UACAGAGGGUGCGAGCGUUAAUCGGAAUUACUGGGCGUAAAGCGUGCGUAGACGGUUAUUUAAGUCGGAUGUGAAAGCUCCGAGCUCAACUCGGAAAUGGCAUUGGAAACUACCUUGCUCGAGGGUUUGAGGGGGGACUGGAAUACUUGGUGUAGCAGUGAAAUGCGUAGAUAUCAAGUAGAACACCAGUGGCGAAGGCGAGUCCCUGGAAAACUCCUGACACUGAGGCACGAAAGCUAGGGGAGCAAACAGG
Molecule: ribosomal RNA, 253 nt
Filed under: uncultured bacterium
Lineage: Bacteria
Description: partial 16S ribosomal RNA
Rfam family: Bacterial small subunit ribosomal RNA
Source: RNAcentral